ACGGAAGGCAGCAGUGGGGAAUAUUGCACAAUGGGGGGAAACCCUGAUGCAGCGACGCCGCGUGAGUGAAGAGGUUAUUCGUAAUGUAAAGCUCUAUCAGCAGGGAAGAAAAUGACGGUACCUGACUAAGAAGCCCCGGCUAACUACGUGCCAGCAGCCGCGGUAAUACGUAGGGGGCAAGCGUUAUCCGGAUUUACUGGGUGUAAAGGGAGCGCAGGCGGUUUUUUAAGUCUGAUGUGAAAGCCCGCGGCUCAACUGCGGGACUGCAUUGGAAACUGGAGAACUAGAGUGUCGGAGGGGCAAGUGGAAUUCCUAGUGUAGCGGUGAAAUGCGUAGAUAUUAGGAGGAACACCAGUGGCGAAGGCGGCUUGCUGGACGAUAACUGACGCUGAGGCUCGAAAGUGUGGGGAGCAAACAGGAUUAGAUACCCUGGUA
This 435-nucleotide ribosomal RNA is filed under the name uncultured Lachnospiraceae bacterium. RNAcentral's name for it is "partial 16S ribosomal RNA". It matches the Rfam family "Bacterial small subunit ribosomal RNA", at positions 341 to 792 of the family's 1533-position model. The record is from RNAcentral. Lineage: Bacteria; Bacillati; Bacillota; Clostridia; Lachnospirales; Lachnospiraceae.